Molecule: long non-coding RNA, 274 nt
Filed under: Hordeum vulgare
Lineage: Eukaryota; Viridiplantae; Streptophyta; Magnoliopsida; Poales; Poaceae
Description: long non-coding RNA (HVUL_LNC004225)
Source: RNAcentral
CCUAUCUUAUUUUAAUGAAUGUGUUAGCCCUUUCAGCACUUGUUUGAUUACACAUGCACUAUACCAUCCCCUUAGGCAAUUCCCUCUAUGCUACUUUCCCUCCACCCCAUCUCGACAUCUGAAGACCAGCAAGACAGGAUAAACCGAGGACUCCUCCUCGACGAACCAGUAGCGCUAUGAUGUACUCAACCAAGUUCAACCCCGUAGAGCUAUGUUUCUCCCUCAAGAUUGGAAACCCUCCCUAGACUAACCUAGACCUCACAAGUUACACAAC